RNAcentral lists this ribosomal RNA (253 nucleotides) under uncultured bacterium. RNAcentral describes it as "partial 16S ribosomal RNA". It matches the Rfam family "Bacterial small subunit ribosomal RNA", at positions 524 to 776 of the family's 1533-position model. The record is from RNAcentral.
UACGUAGGGGGCAAGCGUUAUCCGGAAUUACUGGGUGUAAAGGGAGCGUAGACGGUAAUGUAAGUCUAGAGUGAAAGGCGGGGGCCCAACCCCCGGACUGCUCUGGAAACUAUGUUACUAGAGUGCAGGAGAGGUAAGCGGAAUUCCUAGUGUAGCGGUGAAAUGCGUAGAUAUUAGGAGGAACACCAGUGGCGAAGGCGGCUUACUGGACUGUAACUGACGUUGAGGCUCGAAAGCGUGGGGAGCAAACAGG